AACCGGAAGGACGGGCCGUACCUACGGUACCGUAGGAUUCAUGACUGGGGUG
This 52-nucleotide ribosomal RNA is filed under the name uncultured bacterium. Its description in RNAcentral is "partial 16S ribosomal RNA". The record is from RNAcentral.